AUUACUCCUACGGGAGGCAGCAGUUAGGAAUAUUGGACAAUGGGCGCAAGCCUGAUCCAGCCAUGCCGCGUGUGUGAUGAAGGCCUUAGGGUUGUAAAGCACUUUCGUUGGGGAUGAUAAUGACCGUACCCAAAGAAGAAGCACCGGCUAACUUCGUGCCAGCAGCCGCGGUAAUAAU
RNAcentral lists this ribosomal RNA (178 nucleotides) under uncultured bacterium. RNAcentral's name for it is "partial 16S ribosomal RNA". It matches the Rfam family "Bacterial small subunit ribosomal RNA", at positions 332 to 526 of the family's 1533-position model. The record is from RNAcentral.